AGAAAGAGAGAGAGAGAGAGAGAGAGAGAGACAAAGAAAGUGGUAAAAGCAGUUCUUAUAAAAAAUGAAACGAUGUGUCACUAUCUCAACUUGUCUUUAUUGCAAAUAAAAUUUUCUAAUCUGUUUUCUUAGAUCUGCAGUAUCUCUAUGUAACAUUGUUUCCAAGCUCAAUUAGGAGGAUUUUUAUGUCACCCCCCCCAUAAAACAUCUCAUUUUUAUGCCCUUUGAGCACCCCAAGUAGGUUUAUAAUUAAGCUUGUGCUUAAUUGAAGGAGUAUAGAUAAAAUAACAAUUGUUUCUCAUUUCUAAUUCCAGUUUUCUGUAAAGACAUUUAAAUCGUCAAUUUCUGGGUACCUGAAAAAAGCAAGGUACAGAUGCCUGUAAUUUUUCCUAUUUUUAGUUUUGGAAUGAAUCUUUUCUCACGGCAAUUAAAGCAAAUGAAAAAACCAGUCCUUGAACACUUGCAGCAAGACUAUCACUUGCUACUGAAAUUGACAUUGGAUUAAAAAGCUAAAGUUUGAAAGUAAAAUUAUUUUGCUACUCUUUAAAUAUUUAAGCAGUUUUAAAAUACACUAGAAAAUAAAUACACUUAUUUCCCUAAUAGUGCACAUCACUUGGGUGACAUUCUGUAUACUCUUAUUUUUGCCACAAUGUGGAUUUUUUUCCCAUCAGAUGAAAACCUACAGAAAUAAACGCUGAAACAAAUAGUAGAUUGUUCCCCUCCUUCCCUUCUCAUGCCAAUGAAAUACUUCAAGUGAACUGUUUCCUGAUCACAAAAAUCAUGGUUUUUUUUAAAAAAAUCAACAAGCAGUUAUUUAAAAGAAUACAUACUAUUAUUAAAAGUUAGCCAAGACCAACUAGUAAGACCUCAAAAAUGAACAUAUUUCAAAGAAUUUUGUUCUCUUCAAUAGUUGCAUGAGUUUUUUUUUUUUCCAGGAAAAUGUGCAAAUAUCAAGGUUACCUGGGUCUGCUGGUCACUUCUAGUUUUUGGACUCUUGAAGAUGGUCUCUGUGACUCUGUCCUGGGUGAAAAGCAAGCAAAAAAGAGACCAAAGACUUGGAUUAAAAUCAAAAUGAGAAGUAAAAAGAGUACCUAGUGUCUUAAAGAUGCGUGCCCUGCCUAGCCUCCAAAGUGCUUGCCAUUCUAGAAGCCUUCAGUGCCCUAGCCUGAUUUGGAAGGCGUCCUGGAAUGAACCCACUGCACAGGAGAGGGCAAGGUGAGACCUGGGGGCUGGGGUGGGAGCCCAGCGGGAGGAUGAGAAGGUUCUCAUUCCACUUAGUAGUGCUGGUCACUGUCAGAUUGGCAUCUACCCCCACACCCCCAGCUACAGAGUAGAUGGAAGACCCACAACCAGCCUGAAUGUGAAGUAGAGACAUAUACCAGGAAAAAAGAACAGAAUGAUGCCCUGUGUACAUGGGAUGUAGCUAAGGCUCAGAAGAAAUUUCCUCAGCAAGAGGACAGGAAACACUGACUUCCCCCAACCCAAGCUAUGAGUCAAAACUGAUGGAGACACCGAUGAUAUCCACAUUUUCUCUUAAAGUCUCUUCCUUCUAAUUCCCCAAAUUUCUCUUUGUGGCUUAUAUUUUGGGCUAGAAAUGCAAGCAGAAAGGAAAGGCUAGGAAGGAAUUAGCAGUGGAGAAGGCAAGAGAAAUAAUAAUGCCUGGGUAUACAGUUGGUGCUGAGGACAUGCUAGGUGAAAGGAUGAGAGGGAGAAGAGAAGGCUGAAAGACAAAAAGGCUGUGAACUUGACUUUAUGUUCCUUGAGGGCAGAAACUGUCAUAUUCUCCUCUUUUCCCAAUUCCAAGUAUUUGCACAGGCCUUUUUUAUUUAGAAUGUGAUUAAAUGUUUUUGUUAAUUUCAAAGUCAAAGGAGAAAGAGAGAGAGAAGGGAUGGGUCUAAGGGGGUUGAACUGUUACUCCAUCCUAAACCCCAUGUGACUGGCUCCCUCCAUCAGAGCCCGCUCUGCUCACAUUUGUACUUUGGUCCUAGAUAUAAAACUAAAAGCCUUCCCUUCUUAUCUAUCCAUCCGGAUCUCUCCAUUUUGGGGGGCUCUGGUUUGACUCUUUCUGCCUUGAGGCCAUUUGCCUUGGACUCUUAGCUUUGACCUCUAGGACAUGAGGUUCUACACCUCCUUUUGGCCACUUCCUUCCUAUCAGGAGGUGACUCGGGCAUCAUUUUGGAUACCAGUCCUUGGCCGGCUCCAGGCUCUCAUCUGCCUGGGUGGAGGUGGGGAGAGGCCGGGAUCUAUGAUGAGCCCUUUCCCUCACUCAGUGUGCUGUGGAGAAGAAAACAGGCUUGGACCCAUGAGGGCUCGGCUUACAAAUGUUCCAACUUGAAGCUUGGAGAAAAAAAACUGGUACAAAUGUAACUGCAUCAAGGAAUGCAGUCCAGUGUCAUUUUGGGGCUUGCAGUGUGGCAGGCCACCUGUCCACAGGUGCCUGGACCACAGCGCUCCCACAUCCUGACCCACCACUGCUAGAAAGCUGCCCAGCCCACACAAGCGCCAUCUUCCAGUCUCAGGAAUGGGAAGCCAGAACAGUAGGCGCCUGCCUCCUGACCGAGGAGACAGGACAGUGAGAGACGAUAAGCUGCAUCCGGGGCAUCCUCUGUGGAAGUGAUUGCCACUGCAGCACCUCUUACUGGGGAAACCAGUGUCCCCUGAUGCCACCCCAACAGAGCAUCCACAGACCCUGGUGCUGUCUAUUGCCUACUGCCCAACUGCUGCCUACUCCCCUAGGACUUGGCAUCUCCCAGUGGAAAAUUCAGCAGACACCGUUUUUAGGAAUGCUCACACAGCCCCCUCACUAUACAGCUCUUUCUACCUUAGGAAGGACCCGGUCCUAUUCCAGGAAGACUCCAGUGUAGUGACCACAACUCUAUUUCUCCAGGAAACUGUUCCUAGAAGAGGCCAAAUGGCCUGAAAAGAAACAUGACUAGGUAAGAAUAGAGGCUAUGCCAGAUGUUUGGAGCACUCUCUGGAGAUUCCUAGGGCAGCAAGCAUAGUUUAUACUAUGCUUGCUGAAUAUAAGUGUAUAAGACACUUAUACCAAGCUCGGCCAGUACCACACAAGGGAGCGUUUUCCAGGCCCUUUCGGGGGCCAUGUGCUGGACAGAAACCUACUCUGAAGAGCCAGAGCACUGUGAGCAGGAGAGGAGGAUUUGCUUGAAGAAGUCACAUCCAGACAUUCAGCUCAGCAGCUCCUAUGGAAGAGCAGGACUUGAGCAGCAGGGGGCAGCAAAGCACAACCGCCUCCUUCAGCUGAACCCUAGGGCAGCCUUGGGAGGCAGGUGGUGAGGCGCGGGAGAAUUAGCCUCCCAGGGGACAGCUACUAGGCUUGUCAGAGGUACUGCAACCAAGCUUGCCCCUUGUCGGUUGCCUCUCUGAAUUCUGAAAAAAUCUUUGUCACAGUCCGCGGGGACCUCUGGAAUAAGAAGAGCUGAGACAGAGAUGCCGGAGGAGCAAACCUCAAGACACGUGGCAAUGUCUGUCCUCGCUGAUUUCACCCCUUUUUCCAGUUUGACAUCAUCCUUGCAGAUGGAGUUCCUAAGACAUGACACUUCAUCUUCUCUUUUUGGCACCAGUAACCACAGUCUCACUCCAUAGUAAGACCUCUAACCACCUUACUUGCCCCCAUCCAGACUGCACCGGCUUUGUCGGGCAUCAGUGUCUCCACAUGCAUACCCAUCAGUUCUCGAAUAACCACCUAAAGGGAAGGUCAGACCCACUUACCACUUGGAUUCUUGGGAAAGAUUCCCCCUCUCACCUACAGUGGGCCUGAUCCAACUCUCCAGGAGAAGUCAUCUAUAACAGCUCUACCCCUCUCUCCUGUUGGGACACCUCUUCUCUCCCUUGUUCUCCCUUCUUACCCCUGCCAGAGAAAACCUGACUUCCCUCCUCACCCAAAUCCCCAGAGUUCUGGUCACACCAACACCCUGGCAGCCACCCUGCCUCAGGGAGCUACAGCAACCUUUCCAGGAAGACCUCCGAGACACUCUCUGACAUGUUGAAGUCCACAGUGAAGAGUGCCCCAACCACCCCUGGCCUCCAAAACAAUCACAAAUACACAACUCACCUUCUUAGCUUAGACAUUCAAGGUGGGAAGCUCCUGGGGCUGUCGUUUGUAUGAUAAUCAAUGCAACAAAAAUCAGAGCCUAAUAAGCACCUUGACACACUCCAAUUUCACUGCUUUUCUCGGAGAAAGAACCGUGGUAUUCUCAUAGAUUGCUUGGCUCUGGUUGACCCUCUUCAGAGCUGGUAAUUUACCUCUGGUUGCUGCCUGUCAAUGUUCAGGUAUUAAUUAUGCUCAUCUAUAAGUAGUUGACUGAGUGAGAAGAGACGGGGGAUGGGGUGGGAAACAGGAGCAAAUGUGAUAUGGUAGGGGAAACAUGAAAGAAAACAGGCCAAGUGUCCUCUUGAAUUUACAAGACACUGUGUCCCCAUGAGUGCAGACCUUAGUAUUCACACUGAAUCAAUUCCACAGCAAGUCACCAACUUCUAAGAUUUAGUAAUCCACAAGAUAAAAAAUUGGGGAUAAUUACUAAAUUGCAAUACAAUUAUAUGCCAACCAUGGUGUUUUAGCAAAGCAUAAUAAUUAAAAUGUGCCAAAUUUUUGCUUGUAAAGCAAGUUAGUGUCCAUUCUCCUCUUUCCUGACCUGUGCAAUCCACCUCCCCUCUUUCCACCUGUAUGGCCCGCCUAACACCUCUCAUUUGCACAUACAUUUUCUCUCUUCUACCCCUCCACACACCAUAGCUCAAAUCUGGGACAUCUUUAGAUGGGGUGGGCUAAAACAAAGGCCAGGAAGCACUCAGUUAAACUGUCUUCAGGCACUGGUUUGUCUGGUUUUUGUUCUUUUCCCCUGGAAGGUUGAUUCCUCCCUGACUCACAGCAAGGUGCCAGUCGGCCAGUGGGGUACAAAGUGUGUAUUCCAUUUAGCACGUUGCAUAUCAAAGUCAAGUGUGCCCUGACUACUAAGCAUGGCCAAAGCCCAUGGCGUAAGGGAAGUCUCCUUGGACGGCAAAAAGGGAAUCCUCCCCAAGAAAAACAAAGACCUUCCCACCGUCAGUACCUCCUUAAGAAGAUACCACCACCUCCUCCAUCCUACUUCCACCCCAUUCAGGGUUUCCCAGCUGUUUUCAUUCUGCAGACCUGUUGCUUUGUACCUGUGCAGCAAGGCAAUCUGAUGAAAAUCACCCAGAAGGAAAGAAAAGGCAGGAAUUCAUUUAUAGGAGGAUACACUGGCUGACAUACAGCAUCCCCGGACACACCCAAUCAAAAUAAUGGAGGAUAUAUCCUUUCAGGAAAAACAACUGACGCUCCUCAGCCAAGAAAGAAGAAGGCUAAAUAAAAAUUGCUUGGGGGUCCUACGCAACUGUCUUACAUGCUCUGCUCAUGUACCCCAAAACCUAAAAUCCAAUAAAAAAUUAAAAAAAAAAAUUGCUUGGGGGUUCACCCUAUUCUCUCCCACAGGCAUUGCUAACGCAAUGCGAACCUGGAUACCUGUGUACCUCUGGCAAAUCAGGCAGGUCUGUUUGGAAUUGGCCAGGAAAGAGAGCCCACCUGAACUUGAGGCCUCUACAAACCAGGCUGUCUCACAUGCUACAAGUGCCACUUCCUUGAAGCUGUGGGGGCCUCGUCACACUCUUGGAGAGCCACAGCUCAGACAUUGGUAUCACUGCUGUGCAAAAAGCAGCCCCUCCUACACAGUCUUUGUCUCCUAGGCCCAAACACCUUUCCCCCUCACUCUGCCCUGGCCAGGUCUCCAUCCUAUUACCCUCAAAUGGCCUCACUUUCCCUCAUGUCCUCCAACUAGUUGUUCUGUGAAGACCCCUAAAAUAAUUAUUAAACUGACUCCUGGUUUUCUUCAAUGGUCUGGGGCUAACACUACAAAAUGAAACAGAAGCACCACCUCCUUGGUGCCUGACCCAAAGCAGUCCCAGGUUGCCAGCCAAUUUUAUUGGCAACUAAAGUCUUAGAGGUGAGUUGAAGGUGGAAUGUUCAAAAGUCCAGUAUCUCAGUGGAAUAGUCAAUGGAUGGAUAAAUUUGAUGUGCAUAAGCUAAAGAGUAUUAUGGGAGUAAAACAUGAAUAACAGAGAGCUGCUUUUGUGUAUUGCUUUCAAAGCACCAUAAGUUUGAUUACAUGUCUUAAGGCACUGGAUUCUCUAUUUUCCCCAGUCUAGCUCUCCUAGAGCAAUCACAAACCUCUCAAGAGUAAGGACCAUGUCUUACUCAUCUUCCUAUCCCUGGCCUGCUGGUAUCGGUAGCUCUCCAUAGUUGUGCAGUGAUUUUUGAAUGAAUGAAACUGCUUACCUUUUGCAUCCUGUCCCCAGCCCCUACCUUCCCUGGCCCUCCUCAGGUCCUGACAGCUGAGUUAUC
This is a non-coding RNA of Callithrix jacchus (white-tufted-ear marmoset), 6373 nucleotides long. NCBI's taxonomy places the organism in Eukaryota, Metazoa, Chordata, Mammalia, Primates, Cebidae. The record is from RefSeq and is a predicted model, not a curated record.